UGCGUAGGCGGAAUAUUAAGUCAGUGGUGAAAUCCUGUGGCUCAACCGUAGAACUGCCAUUGAUACUGAUAUUCUUGAAUGUAGUUGAGGUAGGCGGAAUGUGUAAUGUAGCGGUGAAAUGCUUAGAUAUUACACAGAACACCGAUUGCGAAGGCAGCUUACUAAACUAUGAUUGACGCUGAGGCACGAAAGCGUGGGGAGCGAACAGGAUUAGAUACCCUGGUAGUCC
RNAcentral lists this ribosomal RNA (229 nucleotides) under uncultured bacterium. RNAcentral's name for it is "partial 16S ribosomal RNA". It matches the Rfam family "Bacterial small subunit ribosomal RNA", at positions 568 to 796 of the family's 1533-position model. The record is from RNAcentral.